CUGGGGGAACCUGGACCGGAAAACCAUGGCCAGGCCGGAGCCGGGUGAAUGAUUUCCCGAGAUAGACUCGCUUAUCCCUUUUGGGAGGUAGGCCCCCCAAGCAAUAACAGGACGGGCUCUGAGAGGAGGGGCCCCGAGAAGGGUUACUGAGACACGGACCCAGCNCCUAUGGGGCGCAGCAGGCGAGAAACCUUUGCAAUGUGCGAAAGCACGACAAGGUUAAUCCGAGUGUCUCCUGCUAAAGGAGUCUUCUGUCAGUUGUAGAAUCACUGGUGAAUAAGGGGUGGGCAAGUUCUGGUGUCAGCCGCCGCGGUAAAACCAGCACCGCGAGUGGUCAGGAGGUUUAUUGGGCCUAAAGCAUCCGUAGCCGGUUGCAUAAGUUUUCGGUUAAAUCUAUGCGCUUAACGUAUAGGCCGCCGAAAAUACUGUGCAGCUAGGGAGUGGGAGAGGUACACGGUACUCGAUAGGAAGGGGUAAAAUCCUUUGAUCUAUUGAUGACCACCUGUGGCGAAGGCGGUGUACCAGAACACGUUCGACGGUGAGGGAUGAAAGCUGGGGGAGCAAACCGGAUUAGAUACCCGGGUAGUCCCAGCUGUAAACGAUGCAGACUCGGUGAUGCAUUGGCUUGUGGCCAAUGCAGUGCCGCAGGGAAGCCGUUAAGUCUGCCGCCUGGGAAGUACGUACGCAAGUAUGAAACUUAAAGGAAUUGGCGGGGGAGCACCACAAGGGGUGAAGCCUGCGUUCAAUUGGAUUCACGCU
This 759-nucleotide ribosomal RNA is filed under the name uncultured archaeon. Its description in RNAcentral is "bacterial SSU rRNA". It matches the Rfam family "Archaeal small subunit ribosomal RNA", at positions 131 to 919 of the family's 1478-position model. The record is from RNAcentral.